This 242-nucleotide ribosomal RNA is filed under the name uncultured bacterium. RNAcentral's name for it is "partial 16S ribosomal RNA". It matches the Rfam family "Bacterial small subunit ribosomal RNA", at positions 118 to 353 of the family's 1533-position model. The record is from RNAcentral.
UAGGUAACCUGCCUUGUAGCGGGGGAUAACUAUUGGAAACGAUAGCUAAUACCGCAUAACAAUGGAUGACACAUGUCAUUUAUUUGAAAGGAGCAAUUGCUCCACUACAAGAUGGACCUGCGUUGUAUUAGCUAGUAGGUGAGGUAAUGGCUCACCUAGGCGACGAUACAUAGCCGACCUGAGAGGGUGAUCGGCCACACUGGGACUGAGACACGGUCCAGACUCCUACGGGAGGCAGCAUG